CGUUUUAUAACUUUACAAGCGAUUAUGAUGGGAUAACUGUUUCUUAAACAUUUUAUAACAGGCAACUGGGUGGCAAUAUGUAUAGUUUGUAGACAAAGGAAAUUAUUUUACGACUGAAUUUGUCGGUAAAUGAUUGAAUAGGUAUUACCUAUCUGACAAACCCAAAUAAUAUAAAUAAAACAGCCCUACGGGCCUUCGAAGCCCUUGGCGAGAAACCAUAGUACAAGACAUAAUUUAAAUUUUUAGAAAAUUCGAGAUUGUAGGUAAAAAUUUAUUCGUUGAUUUCAAAAAUAUUCUAAUAGGCGGUAUUGCUUUAUUAUUACGUAUUCCAAUAAACGGAUAAAUUUAUCAAGGAGUAAAUGGAAACGUUUCGGGACCUCGAAUUUAUAUUCCAUAAACCGGGAUAUUCCUAUAACCGGUACUCUAAUAAGCGGGUUCGACUGUAUAUCAUUUGAAUAUUAACUAUAAUUAGCCUGUGAUUAAUAUUAUAUUUAAUAGUUAUUUAUGAUAUAAAUGUUAAGAGCACAAUUUUAAGGCACGCAUUGUAACGGUCACGUUACGAAAGUAGCUCUUUAAUAAUUAUUAUUAUUAUUUUCCCUCGGUCUCUCAUUUAAAUUCUCGUAUAGGACCACUGAGGUGACGUCAUACCUCGGUGAUGGAACGUACUCCACCUAUCGAGAAUUAUUCGGGUUCUGAGAGAAUUUGACGUUUACCUUGGCGGAGAAGCGCCUCUCGUUCUUUACUUGACUGUUGGCUGUUGUGUCGAAUAGAGGUACCAUAUAGAAUGGCGGAUGAUUUCAUCCAACUUAUUUUAUAACAUCAAGCAAUUUAAAGUAAAGUAAAAAGUUACCACCAAGGAUUGUCUGGAGUGAGGAGACAUGUGGGUGACAACUCCUGUUGGAGUCUAAAUAGGAAUCAUUCGCCAUUUGGGAGAAACCCUACCAUGAAGUCAUAGACCUUAUUUGACCACCUAGAGAAACCACUACAGCCACAGUCAAGUCAUCAUGGGAGUAUGUCUAUUUGGGAGCAAGCUAUGGGAGCGUUCCAGCUCAAUUUUCGUCUUGGCACCUGGGCCUACAGGAGUCAUGGGGUCGCACCAUCCUGGUGCAUCAUUUUCUAGGAUGCAACCGCAACCUCUUUUGGGAACAUUUAGUGAGGUGUUUUAGUAACUAUUGGUUUUUUUUAUAUUUCAGACUAUCUGUUAAAUACACUGUUUUUUUUUUCCAGAUUUAGGUUACCUCUGGUUUUUUUUGACAUAUUCGUAUAUUAGAUUAUUUGGUUCCCAAACUUUGUAUCUACGGUAACUUCUUGUACACAGGAAUAAGCCUAGAGAAAAUUAGGUUUUUAAUACUUUAUUAUUGCUUUGAUAUUGGUUUAUGUAAUUCGGGUAAAUUUAUUUUUUUAAUAUUACUAGCUUGUUUCCCAAAUAUUUUACUGUUAUUCGCUUUAUUCCAUUUGUUCGGUUAAUUUAGGUCAUCGUCGGUAUUUAUCUCAACUUCAUUUCUACUUUAGUCAAUUGUAUAUUUAACUUUAUUUAUUCAUUAUUGUAUUUUCCCUUAGUGAGGCUUGGGCCUAUUUAUUUGUAGUAUUUUCAUCUUUGUCAGUUUCCUUUAGUUGUACGUAGCGGGCGUACUAUAACCAUUUGGUAGAAGACUUAUGUAAUUGUGUACCCUAUAUGUUAGUGAGAGGUAGGUACUUAUACCUGUAAUUUUGUAACAGGUAACAUUGUUGUUAUCUUAGGUUGAACAUAACUUUUGCAAACUUUUGUCAUUUUAGAGUCACAUGAUAUACACUUUGUUUAACUCAGAGAUUGUUAAAAAUCUGGUAGUUCAUUUUAAUAAAUGUUUAUUUAUUUUGUAUAUCAUUUAUUUUUAUUAUUCCUUUAUGUUCAUUAUUACAGGUUUGAUAUAUUUAAUAUUUGACAGCAGUAUAAGAUACCUGGGAAAAUGAUCGAAGAUCAUUUUCAUGGCGCCCAUGAUUUGUUAGAUUUAUUUAUUUUGUUCGUCUUUAGCAAUUAUCCAUCUUCAUUCAGUUUCAGUACAUUAUUCUUAUUUUAUUAUUUCAUCUUUUAGUCAUCAUUACUAUCUAUAUAGAGCUACUGUUCUUCGACAGGCAUGCAAACGAGCCGUAUCCAUCCUUGAGUGUCAAGUGGUUUUCUUGCAUCUCUUGCUAGCCAACUCUAUUCAGUUUGCCUCUGUCUCUUCCCACUUCUAUUUCUAUCCCUUCUAAUUCCCCUUUCUUCAGUACUACUGCACUUUAGUAGUAUUUUUUAUUUUUUCCUAUUGCGGCUUCUCAACGUAGAAGCCACUUCACCUUUUCUUACAGCCCAUCUCUCUACAUCUAUGUCCCAUUAGUUAUUUAUUUAUUUUUUUCCUUACUUCUGUUGGAGUAUAUCUUUCUUUUUACUUUCACUCCAACAGAAGUUUUCUUCAUUUUGUUACACUGGCUGCCCAAUGCGUGGUGCCAACCGUUUUUGGUUCUAAGACAGUAGUUCUUUUAGUUCAAUUUUCUUUUAUUGGAAUUUUCUGUUUUAUUAACUUUUUGAUAUCUUUGUAUACAUGUUACUUCUGAUUUAUUUUUGGUCUUUAAAACUUUACGAAUACUAAACAGGUAGACUUAUGCUGCUUUUGGUUUUGAUUAGUUUAUUUCGAUACCUCAUUUUUAGUUUUAGUGGUACAGCUCAUAUGUUAGUUUGGAUUUUGUAUUUUUAUUGGAAACUUAUUUAUGUAUUUAGAUUGAGUAUACAUAACUGACAUUAUGUUCUAUUAGUUAAAUUUUUAUUCCUUCUACCAAUGGUAGUAUGUUUGCACGUACAAUUAAUUAUUGACUAUAUGCAUAUAUUGUUUUCUAGUGUGGUUAUAUUUUACACCUAACUAGAAAUAAUUUUCAGUAUUUAGGUAUUUUAUUUACUUUAUUGAUUUGAUUAUUUAUAUAUUUUGCUGGCAUUUUGAUUUGUUGGUGUGUCGCUAAUAUUUUCUCCAUAUGUAUCUUUGUCUUACAAACUUUAGAUUAUAUUUUAUAUUGGUUAUUUUUGAUAUUUGGGUUGUUUGGUAAGACAGGCACACACCACAAAGCACAAUCAGUCCACAACAUUAGCUUCUACACAUGAUACGUUGAAUUCGCAUGGUUCGGAUGAUUACAGAUGGUCAUCCAAAUUAUUUUUCUUUAAUUGGUAGUGUUAAACAUAACAAUUAUAAUUAUUGUAUGGUACAGUAGUUCCAUUACCCAUCUCAGUUUCUAGUUUUAUUAUUGUUGAUAAUAAUAUUAUAUCAAUGUGGAUUGUGGGUACCAUAAUAUAAUGCUCAUAGAAAUCAGAUACUUUAGGUUGAGAUUUAAAUAUAAAUUCUUUAUUAGUUAGGAAACAUUGAUUCUAUUUUUCUAUUAAGUUAUAGAACAAUCUUCAGAAGAAGAUUACCUUAACAGUGUUGUUCAAGCUAAUCUCUUCUUCUGUUUGUCUUUAGCUUAGCUCAAUCUUUAGUAUGGUUAGAAAUUUUAGUCUAAUUUUUUUUUCCAUCUGAUAAUGCAGUUACCUACAUACAUUGCUUGAUUUCAUCUUUGGCUUAGUUUUGAUGACUUUUAUUUAUUACUUAUUAAUUUAAUUAUUAUGUAGUACUUUAUGUAUGAGUUUAUUUUUUUUUGGGUAUUAGGUAUGGUGCAUUUUAAUUAUUAUUAUGAGUCAAUAUUAUUAAUUGCUAAUCCUGUCAGUAGGAUUAUCCAAUUAAUAAAAACUUCACUUGUAUUUUUGUCUAGUUUUUGCACACCUAACCCCUAAGUUAGAAGGGUUGUUGAGUAUUAUAUAUUUAUAUAUUUGGAUAGGUGAACUCAUACAAGUACCUACUCUUGGUUAAUAUGGAUAUUAUUAUGGAACUAUAUGUUAUGCACUACAUAUGUCAGAUUACCUAUGUGUUAUAUAUUUUUGAAUAUUUGAUUACCUACUAUUUUUUUUAUAUUAUUUUUAUAUCUAGUUAUGAAUUUGCCAUAUUGGAAAGAUGUGGUUUUUAAUUUGUUAUUGGGUUACUCUAUUAACAUUUGUCUCCAAUAUCUUAAACACUUUAUAAUAAUUUAUAUCCUUCUAUCCUACAAUGUGGUUUUUAAUUUGUUAUUGGGUUACUCUAUUAACAUUUGUCUCCAAUAAUGAUUCUGGAAUUAGAUUGGAAUGUUGAUGUGAGUAUGUAUGGUUUCUUAAGUCUUUUAUUGAUUUCUUCUUGUGGACUAGCCUGUCCUUACUCUGUUAAUGCUAGUGAGUGAGUACGUGGGUUCGAAAUUCAGCAAUUGGCCAUUGCUAUCCGGUUUCGUAAUCUAUGUCCUCAUGGCAGAGUAUGCAGAUGUCUAUUCAUCAUCAGUUCCUAACCAUUCUCCUGUAAUUAGUCCACUUAUUCCAGUUUUUGUUACAAAUUGAUAGGGAGGUUUAUUUAAUUUGUAUUAUGUCUCGUACUUCAUAGUAUGUAUGUGGAACUUUGACUGAUGAGGGAUAAAUAUCCUAGUGUGCACGUAUUCAUCGAUCAAAGCUUUGACUAUACCUAUACAUAGUAGGUUCAUUAAUUCAGUAUUUGGAGUGUUUAGACAAAUGAGUUGUUCAUUUGAGUAUAUUCCCACUUCUUUCCUUAGGCAUUAGUUUUGUUAUUUAGAUUUUGGAACAUUUCCUGAAUAAUUCCACGUAUGUGAGAGCGCAUGACUCUGCAGUUUUAAUUAAAAUUGGUUGGCCGUUCUCGUCAAUUUUUUUUUUCCUAUCACUUAUCACAUAUUUUUUUUUCCUAUCACUUAUCAUAGUGUCAUAAAACUUAUGAGUUCAUCAUUUAUUCUUUUUCUUUCUUACUUAUUCUUACAUUAUUGGUACUUUAUCUGAGUCUGGUUAUUCUCAUACAUCUGUUGUAGCAACAUGCUAUAGUUCGCGAAUACCAGCACGAAUUAGUUUAUGUAGUUUCUAUAAUAUUUUAGUCAAUACACAUUAGGUAUUUAUCUUACUUUUGAUUUAGUUAGGUUACAUCUCUGUUACUUAGUCUGUUAGCAAUAUUUAUUCUGACUUAUUUUGAUUACUUAGUUUGGACAGGUUCAUAUUACCGGAUGAGGGUGUAUGUAGACCUAAUUUAUUUAUUUUGUGCAGUAUUAGUUACCAUUGGAUCCAAUAAUUUAGUUUAUUUAGUAUUAGUAAGAAUUGGUCCAUAAAUUUGCCUGAUCGUUUUUCUUUGGAUAUACUCUUAUAUAAAUCUGGUGUCCAUUGAUAGUCCGAUUCUGGAUAAGUGUCCGAUUCUUCAUUUAUUUUGUGUAUUUGGUUGGAUAGGUUCGUAUUACCGGAUGUGGGUGUACGUAGACCUGAUCUGUUUAUGUGGUUUAGUAUUGGUGUGAAUUGGUCCAUAAAUUUGCCUGGUCGUUCUUCUUUGGAUAUGCCUAUUAUGAAUCUGGUGUCCAUUGUUAGUUCAAUUUUGGAUUAAGUGCUCAAUUCUUUACUUAUUUUAGUUACUGUUUUUUUAUUCACUUUGGUACAUUUACUUUUGAUAUGGUUCGAAUUGGCUCACACCUUUUCCUGGUUGUUCCGUCCUUGGAUAUAUCCUUUAUAAAUCUGAUGUCCAUGGAUAGUUCAAUUUUGGUUUGGUGCCCAAUUCGACACUUAGCAUUAUUAUGAACUUUAGUGCAAUAUUUAGUUCUGUUUUGACUUUUAAGCAAUAUUAUGUCAAUAUUUGGUAGCAGAGAGUAACAUAGUAACAUUUUAGUAUGAAUUUGAGUAAUAUAUUUAUUUUUCCUGAUCAGUAGUUUAUUCUUAUUGGUAAUCUUGCGAAUCAACGUGGAUUGUUAGACUAUGUAUUGCAAAGUUAGUUGUUAUUAUUUUGAAGUUUAGAAAAAAAAUUUUAUGGAUAAAAUUUUUUUUUCCCAAGUAGAAGGGGAUUGUAACGGUCACGUUACGAAAGUAGCUCUUUAAUAAUUAUUAUUAUUAUUUUCCCUCGGUCUCUCAUUUAAAUUCUCGUAUAGGACCACUGAGGUGACGUCAUACCUCGGUGAUGGAACGUACUCCACCUAUCGAGAAUUAUUCGGGUUCUGAGAGAAUUUGACGUUUACCUUGGCGGAGAAGCGCCUCUCGUUCUUUACUUGACUGUUGGCUGUUGUGUCGAAUAGAGGUACCAUAUAGAAUGGCGGAUAAUUUCAUCCAACUUAUUUUAUAACAUCAAGCAAUUUAAAGUAAAGUAAAAAGUUACCACCAAGGAUUGUCUGGAGUGAGGAGACAUGUGGGUGACAACUCCUGUUGGAGUCUAAAUAGGAAUCAUUCGGUGAGAUCUACUUUUUCAUAAUAAUUUUUUUAUGUAGGUAUAGCCUUGUUUUUUGUUAUGGAACAUUAGAUAUACUUGGUUCAUUUUAAACUUUCUUAGUCAAUCUAUUAAGGGAAGGAUGUAGAUUAUUUCGAUCUUUAUAUUAUCUUUAUAUCGAUCUUUUAUAUUAAUGUGGUUUUUGGUUUUACAUAACCAAACAUUUUUGAAGUCCUCAAAUUAAUAUUGAAAAUAAUUACCAUUUCUCUGUAGGUUUUAAAUUAUUCGACAUCCAAUAUUUUAUAAAUUCAAUAUAUUUUUUACAGAUAUUUCCUCAAAUAAAUCAUUUCAAUGUCAUUUGUCCAUGUAUUCACACUCAAAACAGUUCAAGGUUACCUGAGAUUGGUUUUUGUUCCAGUUUUAAUGGUCGGUUUUUCUAUACUAUUGCUUCUAAAAAGUUCCUCAAUUAUUUCUUCUUCCCUUUACUUUUUGCUCAUGUUUAAAAUGAGAAAUAAAACUGGGAAUGUUUUUUAGCCAUUUGGGAGAAACCCUACCAUGAAGUCAUAGACCUUAUUUGACCACCUAGAGAAACCACUACAGCCACAGUCAAGUCAUCAUGGGAGUAUGUCUAUUUGGGAGCAAGCUAUGGGAGCGUUCCAGCUCAAUUUUCGUCUUGGCACCUGGGCCUACAGGAGUCAUGGGGUCGCACCAUCCUGGUGCAUCAUUUUCUAGGAUGCAACCGCAACCUCGUUUGGGAACAUUUAGUGAGGUGUUUUAGUAACUAUUGGUUUUUUUUAUAUUUCAGACUAUCUGUUAAAUACACUGUUUUUUUUUCCAGAUUUAGGUUACCUCUGGUUUUUUUUGACAUAUUCGUAUAUUAGAUUAUUUGGUUCCCAAACUUUGUAUCUACGGUAACUUCUUGUGCACAGGAAUAAGCCUAGAGAAAAUUAGGUUUUUAAUACUUUAUUAUUGCUUUGAUAUUGGUUUAUGUAAUUCGGGUAAAUUUAUUUUUUUAAUAUUACUAGCUUGUUUCCCAAAUAUUUUACUGUUAUUCGCUUUAUUCCAUUUGUUCGGUUAAUUUAGGUCAUCGUCGGUAUUUAUCUCAACUUCAUUUCUACUUUAGUCAAUUGUAUAUUUAACUUUAUUUAUUCAUUAUUGUAUUUUCCCUUAGUGAGGCUUGGGCCUAUUUAUUUGUAGUAUUUUCAUCUUUGUCAGUUUCCUUUAGUUGUACGUAGCGGGCGUACUAUAACCAUUUGGUAGAAGACUUAUGUAAUUGUGUACCCUAUAUGUUAGUGAGAGGUACUUAUACCUGUAAUUUUGUAACAGGUAACAUUGUUGUUAUCUUAGGUUGAACAUAACUUUUGCAAACUUUUGUCAUUUUAGAGUCACAUGAUAUACACUUUGUUUAACUCAGAGAUUGUUAAAAAUCUGGUAGUUCAUUUUAAUAAAUGUUUAUUUAUUUUGUA
RNAcentral lists this long non-coding RNA (7705 nucleotides) under Diabrotica virgifera virgifera (western corn rootworm). RNAcentral's name for it is "uncharacterized LOC126880093". The record is from RNAcentral. Lineage: Eukaryota; Metazoa; Arthropoda; Insecta; Coleoptera; Chrysomelidae.